ACUCCACCGCUGCUGCCAGUACCAGUCCUGUGCGUCCAAAGCCUGCCUGCAGGGUAGCCAUCAGCAGCCAGGGCCAGAGGGCAGCCAGCUGCAGCUGGUGGCCACCACUCAUGCUACCAGCUGCAGCAAUGCACUUCAACCAUACAUACUGCUUCCACUAGCUAAUACCAAAUGCAGGUUCUCAGAUCCAGACAAAUGGAGGAAAAGAACAUUUAUGCUUCAGUUUCAGAAAGCCAAGUCGUAGUUUUGGCCCUUCCUUUCUCUAAAGUUUAUUCCCAAGAACAGGUAGCAUUCCUGAUUGGGCAGAGAAGAGGAUAUUUUCAGCCCACAUCUGCUGCAGAUCCUGCUCAAAAAAGGUUUCAACUGCUUAACCAAGUACAGCUCAUUCUUCCACCUUCUUACUCUGCAACCAAACCAAGUGCCCCAUACUACAGCAUAUAAAAUGAUCAAGUCUUGAAAGAGAAAAGAAGCAAAGUAGCAAAUACAUCAACAAUUCACUAUCAGAAACACAUAAAAUCCCAGGGAGAGAAGGCACUAUCUCUGAAUCAUGGAUGGACUUGGAAAGUUCGGAAGGAUUCGAGUGCUUCCUUCCUUUCAGAAAGACAAUUCUGGAUCAACUCCCUAGAGCAGGAAGCCUGUGGUUUGUAAUUGGUGUUCUAGCUCUGACUCCCUCCCCUGGGACUGCAAUCACGCUCUCUACCUGCUGACAAAGUGAGGGUGGAGCUGCUAGAGGCAACCACCCCCCACCCUACCCCCCUCCUCCUGGUGCGCACACACAACACUUACUUAACCAGACACGUUCUUUCGCUCUCUCCCCUCGCUCAGCUCCUCUACUCCCUCUACUGAGCCACAGCUAAACUGCAUCCAAUUCAAUCCUGAGUAAGCAAGCUACCACAUGCAAAUCAGGGCCACUCAAAGAUAUCUAAGCAGACUCUGCACCCAACAGAGCAUAGAUGAUGGUAUGAGGAAAUAAACAGAAAAAAAUAAAGGUAAUCCGGAAGAUAAAAGAAUGGACACAAGGUUUUGCAAAUGUAAGUUCAAAAGGAUUUCUGCUCAUUCCAAGUUUGAGUGUCUAUAAAUGGCAGAAAGCCAGAAUAAAGUGAUCCUGUGUUUUAGU
Long non-coding RNA from Symphalangus syndactylus (siamang), 1117 nucleotides. RefSeq lists it as uncharacterized. NCBI's taxonomy places the organism in Eukaryota, Metazoa, Chordata, Mammalia, Primates, Hylobatidae. The record is from RefSeq and is a predicted model, not a curated record.